RNAcentral lists this microRNA (25 nucleotides) under Ananas comosus (pineapple). RNAcentral describes it as "microRNA s1551_c089b". The record is from RNAcentral. Lineage: Eukaryota; Viridiplantae; Streptophyta; Magnoliopsida; Poales; Bromeliaceae.
CCCCGAGUUGUCUUCCUCUUUCCCC